Molecule: long non-coding RNA, 293 nt
Filed under: Brassica napus (rape)
Lineage: Eukaryota; Viridiplantae; Streptophyta; Magnoliopsida; Brassicales; Brassicaceae
Description: long non-coding RNA (BNAP_LNC005287)
Source: RNAcentral
UCAAAAACUAAAAUGACCAAAAUAGCACAUUUCUAAGUUUAUCCAUUGAAAACUUUAUUCUUUUUAUUUUUCAAAAUUUGAAAUCUUAUCCCCAAAACCUCAUUUCUCAACUCUAAACCCUAAACCCUAAACUCUAAACCCUAAACCCUAAACUCUAAACCCUAAACUCAAAACCCUAAACUCUAAACCCUAAACUCUAAACCCUAAACCCUAAACCCUAAAUCCUAAACCCCACCAUUUAACUCUAAACCCUAAGUUUGUGACUUUUGAUAAAACAUUAAGUGCUAUUUUAG